AGCGAACGCUGGCGGCAGGCCUAACACAUGCAAGUCGAACGGAUCCUUCGGGAUUAGUGUCGGACGGGUUAGUAACACGUCGGAACGUGCCCUUUGGUUCGGAACAACUCAUGGAAACUUGAGCUAAUACCGGAUGUGCCCUUCUGGGGAAAGAUUUAUCGCCAUUGGAGCGGCCCGCGUCUGAUUAGCUAGUUGGUUAGGUAAUGGCCCAACAAGGCGACGAUCAGUAGCUGGUCUGAGAGGAUGAUCAGCCACACUGGGACUGAGACACGGCCCAGACUCCUACGGGAGGCAGCAGUGGGGAAUCUUGCGCAAUGGGCGAAAGCCUGACGCAGACAUGACGCGUGAAUGAUGAAGGUCUUAGGAUUGUAAAAUUCUUUCAGCGGGGACGAUAAUGACGGUACCCGCAGAAGAAGCUCCGGCUAACUUCGUG
Molecule: ribosomal RNA, 433 nt
Filed under: uncultured bacterium
Lineage: Bacteria
Description: partial 16S ribosomal RNA
Rfam family: Bacterial small subunit ribosomal RNA
Source: RNAcentral